CUCGUAGAAAAGAAAAAAAUGAGGAAAUCAGGAUGGUAUGGGGGCGAAGGCCGAGAGGAUUUUAACUGUUCCCUUCAAGAUGUCUUUGAAAUUGAGAUCGAAAGAUAAAUGUAGUGGUGUGGUAGUCCCCGACCGAUCCCAAUUACAAUGUCCCUUGCAAGAUUUUCCUAAUAAAGAUUCUCAGGAUUACAGAUCCUCUAGCAAGGAGACCACACAGAUAGAGAUGACCAGAGCAGAGGACAUACAGCCCCCCCCCCCCCCCAAAAAAAAAAAAAUCACAGUGGACUGGAAGUAAAUUUUACAUGAAAAAUACAAAGUAGGAAAAAAUAACAGAAAGAAAAGAGGAUCCAGUAAAAGUUGUCACUGGUGCAAGAUGGACAUAGAGAGGGUUUUCUAAUGAUCAUUACUAAAAUCCACAGCAAAUCAAUACUGCAAGGCUGAGCUAGUUUUCAAAUUUACACAAAAGGACAUAAAGAAAUGUGAAUUCGAGGAAACCAAGCUUAAAUCAAAUGAGAGAAUAUGAAGGAACAAAUUUAAGCAAAUUUUUUUUUAAGCAGGGCAUCUGUUUUCCUUAGAGAAUAUGUGUAUUCUAAAUUGAUUUCUUGUAUUUUCAAAAAAUGUCACUGUUUAAGUGAAGCAUACAUUCCAAUUUAUGUCUU
Molecule: long non-coding RNA, 659 nt
Organism: Saccostrea cuccullata (small rock oyster)
Lineage: Eukaryota; Metazoa; Mollusca; Bivalvia; Ostreida; Ostreidae
Exons: 3
Source: RefSeq, a predicted model, not a curated record